Molecule: long non-coding RNA, 8728 nt
Organism: Gorilla gorilla gorilla (western lowland gorilla)
Lineage: Eukaryota; Metazoa; Chordata; Mammalia; Primates; Hominidae
Exons: 2
Source: RefSeq, a predicted model, not a curated record
CAUUUUGUUUACAAAGGGAGAAAGGGCAGGGCUGUAGGUUUGAGAAGCCAGAGGUUUGCGCGGAGUUCCGUGUGCCCAUUCCCCGAGAGUGCCGCUCUUGGCUGUGGUUGUUUGUUCUACCUGAUUUUGCCUCUUGCCUUCAACUCCCCCAUAACCCCUCCCCAAAUGUCCAGAGGGCAAACAUAUGCGCAUACCUCCCUGAUCAAUCCAGCCAGACCAAAGGGCCUUCCCUGUCCUCCCCCUAAGAACUUAAUGGGAAGAGUGUACGGGGGACCUACUCUUGGGACAUCUGCAGGGCGGCUGUACCAGUCAUUUUACCUGACUUUAUUCUUACCGCAAAGAUUUCCGUCUCGGUACCUGGUGCCCCCUCAGAGUCCACUACACAAACGGGUAAAAUCCCGCCCGGCUAUUCAUUUCGCCAUUCGCGAGUAAGAGGGGGAAAAGGAGCCGCUUCUAGGAGAGCACUGAGGUAUCCUCGGUUCGGUUCCCGAGGAGGCCAGAAGCGGCCGCGGCGGCGCGGGCUGGAGCUCCCGCCUGCAGGGAGACACCGCGCUCUAGGGUGCGGGCUUCGCCGCCCACAUCCAGUGGUCGAACUGUUUUCACGCUAGACUAGAGGGCGGAAAAGUCUGCGCCCGCGGAGAAGCUAGAAUUCUGUAGAAUGUACACUGUGUAGAAAUCUUUUCACCCCACUCUUCAGAGUUGCAGAUUAUCUUUGAAAAACAACAGGCUCUGGCCCUGCCAGCCCUGGUAACUUCUACCCGCCUGAGUCACUCUGAAAAGUAAGCCCCUAGGCCAGUGAGAUGUCCCCACCUUUGGGAGGUGCCGCCUUUCCGGGAACAUUAAAAAAAAAAAACCCUAAAAAUAGAAGGAGGAAAAAUGAGCAAAGGCGGUGGGACGACUCACCGAAACACCGAGGUGCAAAUGUCCAUAGGAGAAACUGGCACUCGCAUGGCAGCCAGCUGGCUCACCCAACAGCUGGGUGGUAACCUUGUGAUCCCCAAACAUCCCCCAGGGCCAUGAAGGCAGUGCUGACUCCCACGAUUGCACCUCAGGCCCAGUGGAAUCCCGCUCCUCCUCCAUAGUGGUGCUAUGUAAUCAGUAGAAAAUCAGUAGAAAAGCUCCCAAAUGAAGCUGCUUCAGGUCAGGGGUUAGAAAUCUGCCUCAGACUUUUUGAACUCAAGGAAAUCGGGACACCUGUCCCCAGGGCUACCUGUGCCCCACCCCAGGAUCAUUCAUGACCGUAGCUACCGGGAGCCCCGCCCAGAUAAGUUUUUAAAAGAGAGAGAGAAAGAAAAAAGUCACAUGCAGGCAUGGCUAGGAACAGGUGUGUGCUGUGGGGACGGGCACUUGGCUCGCAACACACCACACAAAGUCACGAAGUCUGUGCCAGAAAGGAGUAGCCAAGCCACCGCCGGGAGGCAGCCGAGGUUGUGUUUAAGGUGGCGAUUGAGGGCAGUAGGGGACAACUCGACCCAAAGAAGGCCAAGUCUUGUCCUUAUCUGGGGUGGCCACUGAGGGAAGACUUAAGGGAAAGAAGGUGUCCUCAAAGCUACCAUUACAAGAUGAGGAGCUAGAGCGGGCUCAGGUCCCAGGCACCCAGGGCUUAAGCCUUGAUCUUGGAGAGGUUCUCGGAGGGAGGCUUGGGCCACCUGGAGGGACUGGGCACGCUGAGUAGUACCCUCUGGGAGGCUGUACCCCCUUUCAAAGUGUGAGGGCAUUUGCCCAAGGUGUAGGCUUUUAGGGAGCCCAGGGCUGGGCAGCACCAGGGGAGAGAGGCACCAGGUGGGUGCCCUCCUGCCUGCACUCACCUGGAAUGCUGGCAUAUGGGUUUUUCGCCUUCCUCACACCUCCCCACACCACACUCUGGGCUAGGCAGUGUCGAGGAGGUGCCUUGGGUUCAGGGAAGCUUGCCACCUGCACACCUCAACCAGGAAUUGGGCCCCAGAAUCUCAGCCCCUGCCCAAGCAGGAAGGAUAGGGACCCUGGCCCUCGCCAGGUGGUAAAUUGUUUGCUAAAAGUGCAUUUACACGGCGGCGAAGUUUGUUUCUCUUUUACCGGUAGCUUUGUUUUAACGAACCAGAUGUUUUGUCUGUAAAUUCUCCCAAGAACUUUUCCAGUUUUGACGUGAAAUAAACCUUCGAAAAUCGGAACAGUAUAUUAAUACCACUUCUGUGGGGCCUCAGGAGAGCUGAGUCAGGUGUGCCUGGAUGGGAGCUGGGGGUGGGAGUACAAUCUUUGGAGAGAAGUAGGGGGCUUCUCUUGGCCCAAGGUCAAGAAUUGGUUUGGGGGAGGUGAAGUGCCUCCCCGACUCCCAAAACAGGCGCACACACACGCACUGUCACACCGGAGUACGCACUCCCAGCCCUCCUCCAACCAGGCAUAGCUUGCUACUUCGUAAAUUUCUUGUGGCUUGGGGCACAGAGAUGUAGCUCAACUUUGCAGACUGUGUCCACUGCAUGCCGCUGCCGUUUUCCACGAGGACUGCCUGACAAAGGCAAAGGGGCCUUCGAUCUUCUUCCCGGGGCAGCUUUGAUGCCUGAGUGUGCGGGGCCGGGGCCGGGGCCGGGGCCGGGGCCAGGGCAGAGCAGGGUGGAAGCUGGUGCCCCUGUCUGGCCCACCUUAACUCCUGGGCACAACUAGAUUCGGGAGAACUUGGGGUGGAAGCCGACCUGGUCUAGGAAGCCACAGCCUGCAGGUCCCCCUCUCCAAUGCCUCAUUUUUUCCGAUUUAGGAUUUCCAGGCAGUUAUAAAACACCUUAAAAAAAAAAAGACCCACUUAACAAUACACCUAAAAGAGGGAGGGAAGGAAGGAAGGAGUACGGUUAUCACAGGCGUGUGGGGAGAGGGAAACCAGGUCUGCCUAGAAACCCACCUUCUGGUCCUGUGAGUCAUAGCGGCCACUUUCUCGGGUUUCCCAAGACAGGAGAUGGCGAUUUUCUACUCCCUCCCCUCUCCCCAAGCUUUCCAGUGCUCUGAGUCUCGCAUCUUCAGAUACCUCUUUCUUCCUUCAUUCUCUUUCGUUCAAUCAUCUACGGAACUUUCAAAAACUUUUUUUUUAGGAGAGCGAAGAUUAAAUAAAGAAAAUAAAACGUCUUUGUAUUUCAGUCUAAGGAGGACAGAUGCACAUUAAACUCAGUUUGGAGCGCUUAACUCCAGGCGAAAUGCCCUUUUAUCAAAUCCCACGCGUCGACUUGGGUUGCGCUGGGAAUUUCACGAAUUCCUCGCUGCAGCGUGGCGUGGUUUACCCCCACCCCCACCCCCACCCCACUUUGGGUGAAAUGGAUUUUUGGAAACCAUUUAAGCAGAGCUAAAAAUAAGGGUGGGGGGAUCCCUACACUAGAGAUAGCUGCAGCCGCCUAGGGGCUCACCCCUGGCCGGGAGCGAGCAGCUAUUUGCUAGUUGUAGCUCAGGGGUGCCCAACUCUUCCCGUGUGGUUGCGCCAGCUGCCCCGCACUGCAGGUAUCUGAAUCAUUACGUAGGCAACCUGAUGCGGCUCUGAACCCCAGCUCUUUGAAUGCUGGAAUCCUGAAGGAGGAGGAGGUCCCAGAAAUCAAACCACCAGGUCUUAGCCGACCAGAUAACCCAGCUUUCUGAGGCUGGUGACCUCAUUAACUGGCCAGGGAAUUUGCAAGACCAGGAAUAAUCUCGUUUCCCAGUUCUUCUUUCCUACAUUGCUUUUCUCCUCUGUCUUCAACGUUAGGGUUUUGUGUUUGUCCCUAAAUUUACAAUUUACAAACGGGGAAGACGGAGCCUAAGUUUCAGCAGGGCAGGUACAAAAGAGAGGGACAACACUCUGGGGGCCUCAUUCUUUCACGUUUUUGUUUCUUGAAAUUUGAUGGAUAUCACCUUAGUUCGGCAAUAGGAGGGCCAGGGUGACUGGGGACAUGGUGGCCCGAAGGGUUAGAUAAUAUGGCAUGCAGGUAGUCUCUGAUCUCCAGGGCUUUGAUAACACCAAGAUUUUCCUCCUUUGCAGAGCAGUCCUAAAUUCUGCCUUCUCCCUUUUCUGCCGCCUCUUCUCUUUCCCCCAUUUCUUUCUUCGUUUCUUUUUCUGUUUUCUUUUUGUGUGCCUCUCUUCCAACAGUCCCUCCUCCACCUUUAUAAGACUUCUCAAAGGUUAUUUAUUUAAGGUCUACCAAGUGCUAGCCCCAAACAGGUCCAGUCCUUCUACCUGUGGCAAGACGGAGGCUGUUACCGCGUGCAAAUAGUGAGGGAACAAAGUAGUUUGGAGUUUUUUGCAGCUUUUUUAGGUGGGGGGAAGGGAGGGAGGUCAGAAAUAGGUUGACACUUGGUUUGAAAUAAAAAAACAUGUUAAGAAGUUUCGAAGCUGCCAAUAAAACCCUUUAAGUGGCUUGUGAUUCAGUGCCUGGAGUUGCGGGGAUGGCAUUGGUAAAUGACUCUAAUGCCCAAAGAAAAAUAUUACAAAUGCCGCUGUCUCGGCCACCAAUCGGGCGCCGCUCUCCUGCGCGGGCGAUGGCUCCUCUCUGGCGCGGAGGGCACCCACAUUUGCAUGAUAAAUUGACCAGACUGGCGGCAGCCAAUGAAAUAUUCAAAUUAGGCCGGGUGGCGGUAGUAGGGGUGGAGUCCCUGGGGCUGCCCCUUGGCGCGGCGGCGGGAGCGGGCGCUGCCACCUCUCCGUCAGCGCCCUCUGGAGGCGGGACAGCGCGGGCGGCCGCUCUGGCCCAAAAGACGAGAUGGGGGGUUGGGGGUUUGGGAUGCAAGGGGGUUUGGGAGGGGUGAUGGUGGGGUCUGGGUGGUGCUUCGCGGCCCCAGGAGGCUUUCCGGCUGGCCUCGUUGACUAGGCGUACAGCAGGGUCUCCGCAUGCCUCUUGCCCUUAAAAGUGUUGAUGGAUUGCAGAAGUGGAUGGUGACCCCAAGGAGGGGAUUCAGAAAGGCUCCAGCCUCCUUCGCCCAACCACCUUCUCUAGGUUCCCCUAACAAACCCAGCACUUAAGUUAAAAUCGUGUAUUUGCUCUUGUUGGCUUAGCUUUAAGACAAGAUUCUUGCCCACCGCAGACCACAUGGCCAGCUUUCCCAAAGGCCCUCUGAUAAUGAAAUGAUGGAGCAGAUAUAUUAAACUUUCCAUCUUGCCCUGAGCCAACGACCCUGCACCCUCACAGGCCAGGGCACUCUGGAGGGCACCCUGCCUGGAGCCCCAAACCUUGGCUAAGCUGUGGGAGCCUAGGCAGAGUCAGGCAGUGCCUGGAGGCUGGCUUCAGACGGCAGAACUUCUCACCUGGGAAAAUGCUUUCUGGAAGAAGCACCCAGGCCUCAAGGCAGCUCCAGUGAGAGGGCAAAAAGGGAUAUACAUAAGGCAUAAGGCGCUGGCCAUGGUUAGGUAGGUGCUCAGCCAGGAAGAUAGGGCAGACUCACAUGGGGGAGAUUGGCUCGGUGAUGAGACCACUUCUGACUCCACCAGAACCAGGCCCAGCUCUUCCUGGAGGUCCUGACCCAACGGGGACUUUUGCAUGGGAGCCAAAGAACAGUGGAUGUCUCUUGUCCGCUGAUCAUCUCUUCCCUUCCCCCACCCCGUAUUCCAUCCCAUGCCAGAUCCCUAGGCUGUGCCUGUUAGAGCUACUGGAGCACCACAUGGACUUGCCUUUAAAGCAGAAUUUUUAGAAGUGCAGUUGCUUUUCUUUACUCUGCUGUGGGAUGCUGAACACCUUGUUCUUUCUCCAGCUCAGCAGGGCUUGGAGUUGGUUCCUAGCUAUCUCUGGGAAUGCUCGAUCCCCAUCUCUGUUACCAGCCAAAAGGGUCUGCGGGAGGUGGUCGGCACUCCAGUCAGCAGCCCUCUCAGUACCUCUUCCCCAGACAUAGUCAAAGCAAGUCAUUCAUCUGCAGCCAGUCUCCCCUGCCCAUUCACCAAGGAGAACCUGGGGAUAGGACCACUCAGAGCCUGGCCCAGGCUGGCUCACUAACUGUGUGUAAAUACACACAGCGGAAAGAGUAGGUGCUGAACACACAUGUGAGAGAGAGUGAAUUUUUACUCUCAAUCACCUUAUAUAUAUUAUCAAUAGUUUCAAAGUAUGUUGCCCAAAGGAUGUUAAUUCCUAAGAAGGCUUUUGUAUCGUUUGGAGUUUUGAGGAGUGUGUUGGCUGAAGAGAAGAGGGUCUGGCCCCAGGCUUGAUGGGAAUGCAUGGGGUAAACAGCUGGUGACAGAGGUACAAAAGGGGCCUCUCUACUUUCUAAGAGAAUCUUCCAUCCAGGCUGGUUUUAGGACCUGGGGUGGGGUUCCCAUCAGGAGGAGGCCUAAGGAAGGAGUAGGACCCUUCCUAGAUGGCUGAGUCAACUUAUACGACAGGUCAGGGAAACCUGUCUUGGAAGCCCGGGAGCCCUCUUUCCUCCUCCCCAUCCUCAGGCCUCACCUGAGACUUGAAAAUGGACCAGAGUCUUCCUCCAACAGUGAAAUUCGUUAAAGAGUCACUCCUGUCUAGAAUGUGCAGAAAUGCAAGCCUCUCUCUUUCUCUCUCUCUCUCUUUCUCCACCUUGAGGAUGCUGUAUCUAGAGCCCAUAUAGGGACAAGAAGGUAGGCAGUGAAAGCGGGAAAGAAGUAGAAGGCUGGCUGUCAUCCAGCUGUGCAUCCAGUCCUAUCUCAGCUGAACUGUGCACGGUGAAUGAGGAAGUAAAUGACAGGUGAAGGACCAAGAGAGUGAAGCUAGUCAGUUUAUCUGAGGAGAUAGGUAUCAGUGAGUAACUAAGGAUCACACCCACAGUGGGUGUGCCCCGCAGAUGGAUAUAUAUGCAGCAAGCGGUACCUUGCAGGGGAAUGCAAGCUCCAACUGUGGUGAUGAGCCUCUGGCCCAUAAGUAACCCAGUGAGCCUGAGCAGGUCACUCCCUCUCUUUGAGCCUUGUCUCCAUCUCUAAAACAGGACAGCUUUCUCCAUCUUAAACACCAAGUAGGAAUUCAUUGUGGAAACCUUCCAUCAAAAUUGGAGAUGCCUUGGACGGACCCUGUGGCGGCUCAUGCCUGUAAUCCCAGCACUUUGGGAGGCUGAGGCAGGCAGAUCACUUGAGUCCAGGAGUUUGAGACCAGCCUGGGCGACAUGACAAAACCCUCUCUCCACAAAAAAUACAAAAAUUAGCUGGACAUGAUGGCAUGCACCUGUAAUCUCAGCUACUUGGGAGGCUGAGGCAGGAGGAUCACUUGAGCCUGAGAGGUUGAGGCUGUAGUGAGCCAAGAUCGUGCCACCGUACUCCAGUCUGGGCAACAGAGUGAGACCCUGUCUCAAAAAAAAAAAAAAAUAGAGAAAUAGAGAUGCCCCUUGAACCCAUGGGUUUUUGGGACUACAUUCUGGAAGCUUUCAGAGUCAGACCAGAGUUUGAAAGAGGCAUUGUGUCACUAGCCGUGUGCCCGUGGGCAAGUCACAGUAGAGUCUACUUCCCACGGCACUUGUGAGGCUCAUCUGGGAUUAUGUGUGUCCAUGCCUUGGCAGAGAGCUUGGUGAAGAAUGGUAGUUGUCCAAUAAAUGGUACCCCAUUAAGUUGGUGUGCAGGGUGGCCACGGGGCCAGACCACCCUGAAAAUGAAGGCUUCUAUUUGGGCUGAGCCUGGACGCACCUGAGAUUACAAGCAGGUACUUAGAAUGUGGUGAAAAAGAAAGACAGGAGAGAAUGGCUGAAGGCAGCAUGCAGUCCACCUGACUUUCUGGGAAGAUUGGGCAUUUGCAGGGCUGAUAAGUCAGGUUCUUCUGGGCCUUUCUGUGAGCUCAUUAGAGGAAGGGGUCUGGUGACUGAUAUUUCUGUUUUCCCUGUUAGUAGCGACUGGAAUUUGCACCAUCCAGGUCGGAUGGAAAAUAGAAGGCGGGAAAAUCUGACAGUCUCAUUGAUUUGCUCUCUUUGCCAUCACCACUCUUCAGAGGAAGAAAUGUGACUUCAAACUUGCAAUUAGGAACCAGCCUGCUAAGGAGUCCUCUCGUGAGCUCCUGUGCUAUGCGGAGCACAGGCCCAUCUCAUCUCAUUUCCUAAGGAGACAGAGACUCGCUCUGCUGCUCAGGCUGAAGCACAGUGGCACAAUGUCGGCUCACUGCACUCACCUCUGCCUCCUGGGUUCAAGCGUUUCUUCUACCUCAGCUUCCCGAAUAGCUGGGAUUGCAGGCAUGCACCACCACACCCAGCUAAUUUUUGUACUUUUAGUAGAGACAGGGUUUCAUCAGGUUGGCCAGGAUGGUCUCGAACUCCUAACCUCAAGUGAUCCACCUGCCUCAGCUUCCCAAAGUUCUGGGAUUACAGGGCACCAAAAAUUGGCACUUUUAAAAGGAGACAAGUUUUACUUAAAAGCAAAAGCCUUUAACAGGCCUUUGGCUGGACUAAAUGAUAAUGAAGCGAAGCAAAGCUUGUGACCACUCUGUAGAGCCAUCCAGAUAGUCUCUCUUUGGGGCCAGAUCCUCUAGAAUGCAUGAUUUAGGGUCAUUCAUUGCACAUUCCUGGCUUCAGACUGGUUUUCUGAAUUUCCCUGCGAUCUGAUUUUUGUCUUCCUACAUUUGUGUGUGUGAGAUACAUCAAAAGGUAAAAGAAUGUGAAUCAUAUGGGUACGGUUUAAAUAAUACCUGCAUACACAACACUCAGUCACCUGAAACCUCCCCCGACGCCUCCCAAUUCCAGUCCCCUCUCCUGGAGGCCACCUCUAUUUUUAAUUUUUGUAAUGAUCACUUCCUUGCCUUACUUUGUAGUUUUAAUAUUUAGGUGUGUAUACCUGGUCAUGUUCAUAAAUGAAAUCAUGUUGUAUGAAUUA